This 655-nucleotide long non-coding RNA is filed under the name Olea europaea subsp. europaea. Lineage: Eukaryota; Viridiplantae; Streptophyta; Magnoliopsida; Lamiales; Oleaceae. The record is from RNAcentral.
GGAAUUUAAUGUCUCCCAUUUUACUUUUAAGCACUGACGAUGAGCAGUCCUUACACUUUCCUCACAACAUGAUCUCUUAGAGAGGAAGGAGGAGAAGAACCAAGAAUUCAUGUUCAAUCUCUGCAGGUAUUCUUAUAUUAAUCAAAAAAGUUUCUUAGGGAACUUAUGAUGUAUUAUAUGAUUCAUGUUUUUGCUAAAUAAACUGCACUUUUUGCAUGAUCUUAAUUUGCAGUAUAUAGGAUGAUUGCAAUAUGUUCUAAGUAUUAAUUCUUCUUUUUGCUAAUUCUCGGUUUUCAGCAGGACAUGAAAGCCAAAAGCCAAAAGCCACGCGUAGAGGUUGGUGUGGAAUACUCAUUUGAGCAAGAAAAACAAAGUAAUUUUCGUUUUAAAAGGAUCUUGAGGCGACGUAGUCCAUGAACCUCGACCUCGGACCUUCAUCGCCGAGGGUAAUAAGUGGCCAGUUGCGUAGUUAUGGGCGUUUUAGUCCAAUAAAUUACACACACAUGAUGUAGACGCAAAAAUGAAAAACUUGGAAUUUGGUGGACGUCUUGAAUUCUGCACAGAGUUACUUGUUUUGAUCAUGUUUGGCUUUGCUUAAAAGAAAAAAGACUAAGAAAGGUCUUCUUUUGGACUUNCCCUCCAAAUUCUUUCAAAU